CCUACGGGAGGCUGCAGUGAGGAAUAUUGGUCAAUGGGCGCGAGCCUGAACCAGCCAAGUCGCGUGAGGGAAGACGGUCCUAUGGAUUGUAAACCUCUUUUAUAAAGGAAUAAAACGAGGCACGUGUGCCUUUUUGCAUGUACUUUAUGAAUAAGGAUCGGCUAACUCCGUGCCAGCAGCCGCGGUAAUACGGAGGAUCCGAGCAUUAUCCGGAUUUAUUGGGUUUAAAGGGAGCGUAGAUGGGUUGUUAAGUCAGUUGUGAAAGUUUGCGGCUCAACCGGAAAAUUGCAAUUGAUACUGGCAGUCUUGAGUACAGUUGAGGUAGGCGGAAUUCGUGGUGUAGCGGUGAAAUGCUUAGAUAUCACGAAGAACCCCGAUUGCGAAGGCAGCUUACUAAACUGUGACUGACAUUGAUGCUCGAAAGUGUGGGUAUCAAACAGGAUUAGAUACCCCAGUAGUC
RNAcentral lists this ribosomal RNA (460 nucleotides) under uncultured bacterium. RNAcentral describes it as "partial 16S ribosomal RNA". It matches the Rfam family "Bacterial small subunit ribosomal RNA", at positions 338 to 795 of the family's 1533-position model. The record is from RNAcentral.